UGGCAUGGGCUGAUGAUUUAUGAGGCAGUGAUUCUUUCUUCUUGUCCAAAGAGCAGUCUUUUAUUUUAUGAUCCAAAUUUCCACAAGCAAAAUAGGCUCCAGUCACCUACAAAUACAAACUUAUUUCAUAAUUUAACUCACAUCGUACACAGGAUUGAAUCUUUUGUGGUGACUUCCCUUGUUAAAUCGAUGAUGUCUUGACCCUCUUGUUAUCACAAUCUAAUUCAUUUCUAAUUUUUUUUUUUUUUGUAAACUUGUCCUUGCUAUUCCUGUUCUUGAUCUCUAGAAAUUCUUUUGAUCAUCAGAACAAUUUCGUACAUCAAAUAUCUUCUCCAAUCGCAUCAUCUAUUUUUUUUUUGCUACAAAU
Molecule: long non-coding RNA, 367 nt
Filed under: Musa acuminata (dwarf banana)
Lineage: Eukaryota; Viridiplantae; Streptophyta; Magnoliopsida; Zingiberales; Musaceae
Description: long non-coding RNA (MACU_LNC011782)
Source: RNAcentral